GCUGGGCACGGUGGUGCAUGCCUGUAAUCCCAGAAACUUUGGAGGCUGAGGCAGGAGGAUCACAGGUGUAAAGCCAACUUCAGUAACUUAGUGAGGCCCCAAGCAAUUUAGUGAUACCCUGUCCU
This 125-nucleotide small RNA is filed under the name Marmota monax (woodchuck). The record is from RNAcentral. Lineage: Eukaryota; Metazoa; Chordata; Mammalia; Rodentia; Sciuridae.